Molecule: ribosomal RNA, 253 nt
Filed under: uncultured bacterium
Lineage: Bacteria
Description: partial 16S ribosomal RNA
Rfam family: Bacterial small subunit ribosomal RNA
Source: RNAcentral
GACGAAGGGGGCUAGCGUUGUUCGGAAUUACUGGGCGUAAAGCGAGUGUAGGUGGUUGUCCAAGUUGGAUGUGAAAGCCUUGAGCUCAACUCAAGAAAUGCAUUCAGGACUGGAUGACUAGAGGACCGGAGAGGAUAGUGGAAUUCCCAGUGUAGUGGUGAAAUACGUAGAGAUUGGGAAGAACACCAGUGGCGAAGGCGGCUAUCUGGACGGUUUCUGACACUAAGACUCGAAAGCGUGGGGAGCAAACGGG